UUCAUCCAGCUGAUCCAAUACUCAGAGUGAUUGUUUUAUCUUUCUGCAGAAAUCAAUCAUCAAAAUUCCUUUUGCAUCCCAAACAACUGAUGCCAUAAUUCUUGCUGAUCGUUGUGACUUCAAAUGCUUUGGAACUAACAACCAGCUUCGGUCCACUGUAAACGCUCUUAUUACAAUUUAGGAUUCAAAGUGGUGGUAGAUCCAAUUUCAUCCAUAGUUAUAAAACGACGCAAGAUAUCGGUUGUAUUUUGCUUAAAUCGCUCCAUUAUGCCGAUAAAUUGUUUUCGAUCCAGUUUUUGUUGAAUUGUUAACGUGUGCGGCACAACUUCCAAACCAACUAUUUCAUAUGUAAAUCUCCAUGUAAAAUAUGAAGAACUCGUUCGUCUGAGAUGCCUAUGGCAUUAGCAACUUCACGCUUAGUCAAACUUGGAUCUUCACUAACAAUAUUAUCAACUUGCUCAAUGAUUUCUGGUAUGGUUGCGGUGUCUGGUCGCCUUCGCGUGGAUCGUUUCAAGUCUAGUAUGACCGCGUUUAAAUUCACCAGCCCAAAAUUCAACGGUGCGUUUUGAAGCCAAUUUUAUAUAAAUUCGACGCUAUAGAAAUGUAGCCCAAUCAGUAAUCGUAUAACUUCAAAAGACCAUACGUCAAUUUUCUACAACAAAGCACUGCAAAAAGGACAAGCAUGACAACAUAGCCGACAUUGUCGGAAAAUUGUCGAUUGAAACAAAUUUUAUCAACUUCUGGACAGUGCGCACAAUUUGGCGUCAAUACGUAUGCUAGCUCGUAUGUAUGCACAUAUAACAUGUCUCUGUUUUUUUCAACGUUUUGUCAUAACUCAACUUUUGCUCCGCUCCGUUUCCGCGCGAACUCGCCGUUAUUUCGUUCGCUUACCACCAUGAACAAAGACGUUUUAUCUGAGGCUUACUAUUAAUGAUAGCGACUGAUUUGUAUGGAGGAAUACAUAACGAAAUAUUAAACGGUUUUUUUCCUAAUAUAAUAAUAUAUACGUAAUAAUAUACAUAAGUGCACACAAAUUUAUACUAAAUUUUAACUUUUAACAUAAAACUGACUAAUGAGAGAUAUAGCUGAAAUAUUUACAUAUAUGCCAGUUUCUUCGUUCUAACCAUUAAAAGCAAAAUUGAAGAGUUAGUUGGAACAUUGUUUGCACGGGGCAAGGAGAAGCAAGCAUCAGCGUACGCGAAUUUAUCAAUAUAUAAUAUGUUCAUUGUCAUAUUUGUGAAAAUACGCAUAAAUAAGGGAAAAUUCAAUAAAACUAAACAUAUGAACAUA
Bactrocera oleae (olive fruit fly) is the source of this 1290-nucleotide non-coding RNA. The record is from RefSeq and is a predicted model, not a curated record. Lineage: Eukaryota; Metazoa; Arthropoda; Insecta; Diptera; Tephritidae.